This 141-nucleotide ribosomal RNA is filed under the name uncultured bacterium. Its description in RNAcentral is "partial 16S rRNA". It matches the Rfam family "Bacterial small subunit ribosomal RNA", at positions 355 to 511 of the family's 1533-position model. The record is from RNAcentral.
UGGGGAAUUUUCCGCAAUGGGCGAAAGCCUGACGGAGCAAUGCCGCGUGGAGGUGGAAGGCCUACGGGUCGUCAACUUCUUUUCUCGGAGAAGAAACAAUGACGGUAUCUGAGGAAUAAGCAUCGGCUAACUCCGCGCCAG